Molecule: ribosomal RNA, 1178 nt
Filed under: uncultured bacterium
Lineage: Bacteria
Description: partial 16S ribosomal RNA
Source: RNAcentral
ACUUUUUGGUGACCUAUAGAAUACUCAAGCUAUGCAUCCAACGCGUUGGGAGCUCUCCCAUAUGGUCGACCUGCAGGCGGCCGCGAAUUCACUAGUGAUUAGAGUUUGAUCAUGGCUCAGGGAAGUAAAGUCGUAACAAGGUAACCGAAUCGAAUUCCCGCGGCCGCCAUGGCGGCCGGGAGCAUGCGACGUCGGGCCCAAUUCGCCCUAUAGUGAGUCGUAUUACAAUUCACUGGCCGUCGUUUUACAACGUCGUGACUGGGAAAACCCUGGCGUUACCCAACUUAAUCGCCUUGCAGCACAUCCCCCUUUCGCCAGCUGGCGUAAUAGCGAAGAGGCCCGCACCGAUCGCCCUUCCCAACAGUUGCGCAGCCUGAAUGGCGAAUGGACGCGCCCUGUAGCGGCGCAUUAAGCGCGGCGGGUGUGGUGGUUACGCGCAGCGUGACUGCUACACUUGCCAGCGCUUUAGCGCUUGCUCCUUUCGCUUUCUUCCUUUCCUUUCUCGCCACGUUCGCCGGCUUUCCCCGUCAAGCUCUAAAUCGGGGGCUCCUUUUAGGGUUCUGAUUUAGUGCUUUACGGCACUUCGACUUUAAAAAACUUGAUUAGGGUGAUGGUUCACGUAGUGGGCCAUCGCCCUGAUAGACGGUUUUUCGCCCUUUGACGUUGGAGUCCACGUUCUUUAAUAGUGGACUCUUGUUCCAAACUGGAACAACACUCAACCCUAUCUCGGUCUAUUCUUUUGAUUUAUAAGGGAUUUUGCCGAUUUCGGCCUAUUGGUUAAAAAAUGAGCUGAUUUAACAAAAAUUUAACGCGAAUUUUAACAAAAUAUUAACGCUUACAAUUUCCUGAUGCGGUAUUUUCUCCUUACGCAUCUGUGCGGUAUUUCACACCGCAUCAGGUGGCACUUUUCGGGGAAAUGUGCGCGGAACCCCUAUUUGUUUAUUUUUCUAAAUACAUUCAAAUAUGUAUCCGCUCAUGAGACAAUAAACCCUGAUAAAUGCUUCAAUAAUAUUGAAAAAGGAAGAGUAUGAGUAUUUCAACAUUUCGUGGUCGCUCUUAUUCUCUUUUUUUUGCGGCAUUUUGGCUUUCUGGUUUUUGCUCACUCUAGGAAUGCUGGUGAAGUUAAAGAUUGCCUGGAGGAUCAGUGGGUGCAUCUGAGGUGGGUAAACCAUCUCGGA